Molecule: long non-coding RNA, 1304 nt
Organism: Triticum aestivum (bread wheat)
Lineage: Eukaryota; Viridiplantae; Streptophyta; Magnoliopsida; Poales; Poaceae
Exons: 5
Source: RefSeq, a predicted model, not a curated record
UGAGAGAGUAUCUUAAGAGCCAUCCAUUCAUCAUGUUAGCAGCAGGAGAACCCACCACAGGCUAUGGGAGUUUAUCUCCUGACAACCCAUCGUUCCCUUUCCCCUCGAUACAGUCCGGCGCGGCUGCCAGGGCCCGUCUCGUGCCCCUCCGACAGAAUCUUUUGCCUGGCUCCCCUUUGCGAUUCUCCCGAUCCGAUUUGGUGACGAGGAAAGAUCAUUUCCCCCUGUCCACAAAACAGCUUGGCGGCAGGAUCCGAUGUCUGCGUGAUGGCGCUCUACCGGCACGACCGAACGGUGCAGCUCGUUGCAGCGGCUCUCCGGGAUUAUCUCCUGUUAUUUCCCAUGCCUGUGUCGUGCCUGCGUCCCCGAGGCGGCGUCCGUGUGCCAUGCUCCUCCUCUCCCUUCUCGAUGUUAAUUCCGAUGAAGGUAACUCUGACGUGGCUGAGAAGGUUGGAUUUGAUCAGUUUGCCGGAUCGGACCGGCCAUUGGGGUCCGGAGCAGGUUUAUUUCCGGCCGGGGAGGAGGCUCUGGUAGCCACGCUGACCUCAGCCAGUUCUCUGGAGCAUGUAUUGUCGCUAUUCCCCUUCUCAGUGUGGCUCCUGCGUCCAUGGUCACAUGGUCCUCCUCAGUUGCCGAUCAUAUUUCGUGGUGCCAUUGUAGAGAGCCGGCCUCAUGGACCGGAUGCGGGUGGUGGUCCAGCUCUUUGGUCAGUUCACCGGAAUCCUCUGUUAUGGAGUGGAUGCGACGCAGGGCAGGACCUGUGUUUGACAGAGACAACUUGCAGGGGCCUCCUCACGUGCUUCCCGUCGACGGCAUCGGCAGUCACGAGGAGAUAGAGCAGAAGGUGUGGCUGAGGCUAGGACCGGCGCGACGGUGCCACGCGGUGAGGAACCUGCGGUCGCUGUCCUUGGAAGACCUGCCGCAGACUCCGGUCACGACGAGCCUGCACGCCUAACCCUGGACGAGCUCAGCAUCUCACCGUCAAGUACCUCGACCUCUAUAGCGACGGCAUCCAGGGGCCGCAAGUGGCUGGCGUAUGUGGUGUAUCUAGGGAUGCUGAGACACCCGCACUUGCCGCAAUGGUAUCCAUUCUCUGUGAAAGCUGGGCUCCUUCGUGUGAGGCUGUGAGCAGGAAGUCCUGCUCCUGUAUUUGGUUUGCGGCAAGGGCGACGAACUUCCGAGUACGACGACAGGACGGUGACUACUCUGCCUUCUUCUAUAUUGAUGAACUUCAAUUGUAGUUAAGAAGAAUACUCUCAAUUCAUGAUGAUCCAAUGCAUGAAUAAAAAUAUGUCUUUUGGAUA